Long non-coding RNA from Antechinus flavipes (yellow-footed antechinus), 1520 nucleotides. RefSeq lists it as uncharacterized. The record is from RefSeq and is a predicted model, not a curated record. The transcript is spliced from 3 exons. Lineage: Eukaryota; Metazoa; Chordata; Mammalia; Dasyuromorphia; Dasyuridae.
UUGGACCUGGAGCACCCAAGAAGCCCAGAAUGUUCAAGAAUGAAUGCCCCCUCUCUCAUACGCAGCUGAUAACAUUUGUUGUUUGCACCCAAAGUUGGAUCUUCUGGGUAUCCUUGGGAGGCAAAACAGACACCAACCAGUCUGUGCCAGAUUGAGAAAAUGCUUGUGUAGCUGGGGUCUUUUGCAGAUAAGCCAACUCUCCUAUCUUAUAGUCUUUCCAAGGGAUAAGAAUGUAGCUUUUGCCAUCUCCUUGCUACUCCUUUUUGGGAAGGAUUUUCUCCUUUUCCCACUUUAUUGAACCUUUCUUCUCCAUGCCAGCCACUUCCUGUUUUCUCCUCCUUCUUUUGUUGUAAUGUCAUAAAUAUGCAAACUUCCAUAAGGACUAUGAACCCUUCGGGUUCACAUGCAUGUUUAUUUCUCCUGUAAUAAACCUGGUUUUCCCAUAAGUCGCAAGAUGUGAUAGUUGGUUGACAAUGAAUGACAGAUUAACUCAAUCACUAGAAAGUAAUGGGGCAAGGCAUUAUGCUAAUGAUGACUAUUAAUGCUAGAGACCAGUGAUAAACCAAUAUGACAUAUUGUAUUGAUAGUGUACUAGAAUGAGGGGAGCUAGUUUGGGGGUUCCCUAAGGAUGGUGGCUUUUUGAGCUGUUUUUGCUCUUCAGACUGAAGGCUCCCUGAAGGCAGAGCUUUUGCUUCAUUGCUCAAAACACUUCUCUGGCUCCCUAUUGCCUAUAGGAUAAAAAUUAAAAUUCCUUAUGAAUUUUAAACACUUCCACAAUCUGGCUCUCAUUUACUUUUCCAGCUUUACUUCAACUUAUUCUCCCUAAUGUCCUUUAUAUUCUAGUUGUACCAGAUUCUUGGCUGUUAACUGAUCUCUGAGAGCAAUUCCCUUUGCUUGGAACACACUUAUCUCACCUCUGCCACUUAAAACUUGCUCUUCCUUCAAGGAUCAGCUCAGAGAGCAUUGUUAAGCUUUUACUGGCACAGACCUGGAGGCAAGGAAAACCCUUUUAACAAGUGGAGUGGCCCAAAAAGGCAAUGGACCACCUUGGAAGAUGUUAUAUUCAUCACUCAUGUUUAGAAUAUCAGAAAUGUUAAGACUGCUCUUUCCUGAUGCAAUGAAAGAUAGACCAUCCAUGGGCAGGAAACACCACUAUUCUUUCUGGAAAGUGAGAAUCCUUUUCCUAAAGAAGACCUUCCAGAGCAGUAAUGAACUGAACCAGCUACACCCAGUGAAAGUACUCUGGGAGAUGACUAUGAACCAUUACAUAGAAUUCUCAAUCCCCAUAUUUUUGUCCACCUGCAUUUUUGAUUUCCUUCACAGGCUAAUUUUACACUAUUUCAAAGUACGAUUCUUUUUGUACAGAAAAUAACGGUUUGGACAUGUAUACUUACAUUGUAUUUAAUUUAUACUUUAACAUAUUUAACAUGUAUUGGUCAACCUGCCAUCUAGGGGAGGGGAUGGGGGGAAGGAGGGGAAAAAUUGGAAAAAAAAGGUUUGGCAAUUGUCAAUGUUGUAAA